CUUAUAUUCUGUAGCAAGGUUAACCGUAUAGGGGAGCCGAAGGGAAACCGAGUCUUAACUGGGCGUUAAGUUGCAGGGUAUAGACCCGAAACCCGGUGAUCUAGCCAUGGGCAGGUUGAAGGUUGGGUAACACUAACUGGAGGACCGAACCGACUAAUGUUGAAAAAUUAGCGGAUGACUUGUGGCUGGGGGUGAAAGGCCAAUCAAACCGGGAGAUAGCUGGUUCUCCCCGAAAGCUAUUUAGGUAGCGCCUCGUGAACUCAUCUUCGGGGGUAGAGCACUGUUUCGGCUAGGGGGUCAUCCCGACUUACCAACCCGAUGCAAACUGCGAAUACCGAAGAAUGUUAUCACGGGAGACACACGGCGGGUGCUAACGUCCGUCGUGAAGAGGGAAACAACCCAGACCGCCAGCUAAGGUCCCAAAGUCACAGUUAAGUGGGAAACGAUGUGGGAAGGCUCAGACAGCCAGGAUGUUGGCUUAGAAGCAGCCAUCAUUUAAAGAAAGCGUAAUAGCUCACUGGUCGAGUCGGCCUGCGCGGAAGAUGUAACGGGGCUAAACUGUGCACCGAAGCUGCGGCAGCGACGCUUAUGCGUUGUUGGGUAGGGGAGCGUUCUGUAAGCCUGCGAAGGUGUCCUGUGAGGGAUGCUGGAGGUAUCAGAAGUGCGAAUGCUGACAUAAGUAACGAUAAUGCGGGUGAAAAGCCCGCUCGCCGGAAGACCAAGGGUUCCUGUCCAACGUUAAUCGGGGCAGGGUGAGUCGACCCCUAAGGCGAGGCCGAAAGGCGUAGUCGAUGGGAAACGGGUUAAUAUUCCCGUACUUGGUGUUACUGCGAAGGGGGGACGGAGAAGGCUAUGUUGGCCGGGCGACGGUUGUCCCGGUUUAAGCGUGUAGGCUGGUUUUCCAGGCAAAUCCGGAAAAUCAAG
This 924-nucleotide ribosomal RNA is filed under the name Salmonella enterica. RNAcentral's name for it is "bacterial LSU rRNA". It matches the Rfam family "Bacterial large subunit ribosomal RNA", at positions 627 to 1554 of the family's 2925-position model. RNAcentral also lists the same sequence under 3 other names. The record is from RNAcentral. Lineage: Bacteria; Pseudomonadati; Pseudomonadota; Gammaproteobacteria; Enterobacterales; Enterobacteriaceae.